GGAAAAAAGCAACAGGAGUCCAUCCCAUUCUCUUGAGACAACAGGUUCACUGAUCACAGAGAAAAUUUCUUUUCCCUCAGAGUUUAGGCACCUUCAGGUCUGUGCUGUCACCAAUAUCCUUACUGCUACUGCCAUGGAGCAGGGAUUCAAGAUAACCAAAGGAAGACAAAGGUAAAGAAAAAUAAGAAGUUUUCUCCACUCUCUCUGAGCACUCAAAGAUUGUUUUUUUCACAUCUUGAGCCAGAACUAGAAGACUUCCAUUGCUCUCUCUCUUUCUAUAUCAAUACCCACUUCUGGGAUUCAGGCUUCCUUGGACCCAGGCUGGCAGAUGGAGAGCAAAAAAUGGGACAAAAUGGCAGCAGCCAGCCUGACCAUUCCCUUCCCAUCAUGAGGGAGAGGGCUGUGGUAUGGACAGCAGCAGCUGACUGGCCACAGGUGCAGCCACUGCCAUCCAGCCCCGACUCAUUCCUAGAAUAAGAACCACCAGACUGCCCUCUGACACCUGCCUCAGCGGUCCCCACCACUCCUCAAACCCUGUCACCGUCCACAGACAAGCCCUGGAGGGGUGGGGAAAAGGUUUCAUUGUGAGAAACCACUGGGGAUCCUGAAGUUAAAACUCAUCAAAGUGUGGGGAAAACUAAGACUGGCCUAGCAGGAUUUUUACUCUCAAGCUAAUCUACACUCAACCUCAAAGAAUUUAUUAAAAUUCACAUUUAACCAUCUUAUCAGUAUACAUCUUCAAGAGCUUUCGUUUCUGGUACAAAAGUUUCAGCUGCAGUUACUUGUAUUCAUCUGUCUCUUCAGAUUUCGAGGUGGUGGUCUGUCUUGUGAGCUCAAGUCUCUGGUGAUUCUAAUAAAUGUCAUUGAUUUUUUAA
This 875-nucleotide long non-coding RNA is filed under the name Homo sapiens (human). RNAcentral describes it as "HSALNT0340346". Lineage: Eukaryota; Metazoa; Chordata; Mammalia; Primates; Hominidae. The record is from RNAcentral.